Molecule: long non-coding RNA, 1674 nt
Organism: Prunus dulcis (almond)
Lineage: Eukaryota; Viridiplantae; Streptophyta; Magnoliopsida; Rosales; Rosaceae
Exons: 2
Source: RefSeq, a predicted model, not a curated record
UUCAAUAUUAGGUGGCAAAAGUGACAUGGAACCAAUUGAGAUUGCUUUGGAAGGUAGAGAAGAGAACAGGUUGGAAAUUAAUUAGAACCAAUUAAUUCAGUGAAGGGUCAAAAAUGAUGUCACGUUUUGAAGAGGGUGUGUGUGUUGUGGUUGUUGUCCAGUUGUUUUUACUGGGGCGACGGUUUCAGUCAGUCAGUCAGGCAAAAUGCCAAUCGGGAUAGGGGCAUAUUCUUCCCGAUUUCCGUUACGACUGCUACCACCGAGGUUAAUUUGGGAACUGCAAUCUUCAGGAAUCGAACUCUGUACCUAUCGUAAUCCUAACUCAUUACUCCGCACUCUAGUAUCACCCCUUUGGGCUAACGCUCUCACUUCUUUACCUCCUAUGCCUCAUGAUUGAUUUGUUAGCUUGAUUUAUGAGACGUGUUUAGCCUUAUAUGUGCUAACCUACUAGCCUGUGUGUGAAGCUUAAUGGAAUUCUGAACUUGUAUUGUUCACCUGGAUUGGAAGAAUCUGAAUGCAAAUAUUGCACCUUGGCAUGAACAUAGUAAUUGCAGGCUUAUUCUUAUAGAUUCCAUCAUCUGUAUUAGUUUUCUAGAAAAAUCUUUGACUAUAACCCUUUAUUGAUCCUGCCUGCAUGCCAAAAACUUUCACUGCUUGGAAAACUAUGGUGACAUUCAGUUAACUAGAGCAUUGGCUUUCUAAGUUGACCUCAUCUUUGUUAAUGUUGCAUUACUGAAAUAAGCGUAUGAACACAGGCUGCUCAUGUCAGGCAAUGACAAAUCUAGUCUUUGUUAAGACAUUUGAUGGGCAAUAGUAGUUAUUUCCAAUUGUACUGUCUUUAAAAGAAAAAUUGAAAAUCUGUAAAAACAAUAGUGGUUGUGGCUGGAAUUCAUGCAUGUGCUGCAGAUACAAGCAAUGCAUCUAAGAGAGGAGAAGCCAUCUUCAGCCAUUCAAAUUGUUCAUAUUGUUUGUUCACGAUAAAGUUGUUGCUUACCCCUCCCUGACUCGUUUAUGUAUUCAUUAGUUCCAUAAUAGUUUUGCAUAGCAUUCAUGUCAUCUCCUGCAAGUAUCAUAUUUACAUGCCUCAGUAUGAGGCAUGACUACCUUAGUUCAGUAAAGGAAACUUACAUCUGUGAAUCAUUGCCCUUCGUGUUUUUAUAUUGGAAGUGCCAACAAGACUCUGACCAAUGUUGUUUCUGUUUUCAGUUAUCAGUUGCUUAAUUUGAACAGGAUUGACUUCUAACGAUAUAUGUAGGUUUCCAUAUAGUUGUGUGAUUAAAAUUUAUAGCAUUUUACCAUUCAUGAUAGUUAAUGCCUUGUCCUGGUUGUGUUAUCAUUCUUUGUUUACUGAAUGUGGUAGAACUGUAUAGUAUCUAACUGCAGGAGGAUGAUUUGUAGGUAGUUUGUAAUGAACUUUAAUAAUAUCAAAAUAUCCUCACUUUUUCCCUUAUGGGAUUUCAGAUUCUGUUGUCCCUGCAGAUUUGAAUAAGUAGCCAUGUUGGUCUAGAUCUCUGUCUUUUGAAGAUUUGAUAUAGUUAUUGUUGAACAAUGAGUAGCACUUGAAAUUCAAAAUCUAGAGCCAACAAAAUGUGCAUUGGACCAAUCAGCAUCACUUGCCAAGAUUAGCAUUUUGCCUGAAACUUACAUCAUGAUUAAAAAAAAUAAAAUUGAAAU